CGGGGUUGUUAUGGGGACCCCCUUGAUAAAUCGCGUAGCGUUAAGGCUUGUCCGGCAGGACCCAACUUUGGUUUUAAACUGCUAAUCACAUAAUAAUCUGCAUAGGGAAUAGCUACCCCGAGGAAUUUAAUCAACAACCCGGGCCAGUGCUCCCCAUGAGUGUUGGUCCCACCUGAGCGAUGUCCGGGGCCCCACUGGUCACCCAGAGGUUUAGCCAUCCCGACAUCUAGCUCAUCUGUCGUGUCCUGAGACUGAGAUACGCGGCUCUUAUCAGGGUCGUCGACACGACGGGAGGUCCUGCUAGCCUUGUCUUGCCUUAGCGGUAUAUCUUGUGUAUAGGAAUCCCGGUGAAACUUUGGUUUUCCCCAGAGUUGAGGUUUUCCUCUAAGGAAUCCGACGAGAUCACGAGAUUCGUGAUAGAGGAUGCCUUUGCGGCCUGUGUUCGUUUGUGAUGGACUAGUUGCAGCACC
RNAcentral lists this long non-coding RNA (470 nucleotides) under Hordeum vulgare. RNAcentral describes it as "long non-coding RNA (HVUL_LNC009413)". Lineage: Eukaryota; Viridiplantae; Streptophyta; Magnoliopsida; Poales; Poaceae. The record is from RNAcentral.